Non-coding RNA from Camellia sinensis, 1684 nucleotides. NCBI's taxonomy places the organism in Eukaryota, Viridiplantae, Streptophyta, Magnoliopsida, Ericales, Theaceae. The record is from RefSeq and is a predicted model, not a curated record.
GAGAGAGCUGCUUCUUCGUUUACUCAACAGGACUGGCACAAUGUUUAUACAUCUCCACCAUAAUUAGGGUUUUGUUCUUUAGCAUUUGUUAGGUUUCAAGACAAACAUUGAAAACCCCAAUGUCAGGUCUCCAUCGAUCGUCCAGUUCCACAUUGAAGAAGGCCUCCCACCCCAAGAACUCCUCGACGAUCUCUGCAGUCGGUUUGUUUUGAAUGUACCGAAAGAAGAUCAACAAUCGUUCGAGAGGAUUUUAUUUCUUGUGGAGUAUGCACAUUGGUUCUAUGAGGACAAUUCAGUGGAAAAAAAUCCGUCACUGAAAUCAUUCACUCUGAAGGAGUUUACUUCUUUAAUGUUUAACAGUUGUGAUGUUUUGAGACCUUAUGUUGCCCAUAUAGAUGACAUUUUUAAGGACUUCAAUUCAUACAAGGUUCGAGUUCCUGUGACUGGGGCCAUCAUUUUAGACGACUCUUAUGAAUGGGCAUUAAGGAGAGGAAAACUGGAGCGUUAUAAUAAGCACAGAUGGGAUAACUCUAGGCAAUGCGGGACACAUUCCAACACACCCUCCUGGUCCAUAAUAUAUAGUAACCGGACAAAUGGCACACCAAUCAGAGUCCCAACCGAGCUUUGAUGCCCAAUUGAAAGUCUAGCCUACACUUCUCCUUAAAAUCCAGGUAUUAAGGAGAGAAAAACUAGAGCCUUAUAACCAGUACAGAUAGGGCAACUCUAGGUGAUAUGGGACAUAUUCUAACACAAAGCAUAGUAAUGUAUUUCUUUACAUUUUCCCACUUUCUCCUAUUUCCUACUAUUUCUUAUUUUUAUUUACUCUUUUACUCUCAUCACAUUCACUUUCACAUCAACUGAACAGAGCAUGAUGAUAUAACUAAAAAUAUUGUAGUUGAAAUCAUUUGUGAUUAGUAGGUUAUGUUUAUGAUGAGAAUCUAUGUUACAUGGACUCGGGUACGGGUGCAGGUAUGUAUCUAGAGGUCAGAUUCAUCAAACCAUAAAUCCAAGGGUACUCGGACUUGGCAAAGGCAAAAAAGUGUCAUAUUUUGAUAUUUUUAAUAAAGUAUGUGAGAUACAAUGGUAUUAUAUAUAAUUUACAGUGUUAAAAAGAUAUUUAUAGUAUUUAUACAACAAUAUGUGCAUAUGAUAAUGGUAAGGGUGCAACUCAGGCGGGCUUAACCCGAGGAACCCAUGCCCAGCCCGAAUUUUUUUAGGGCUUGGGCAACAAUGUCUUGUAAUCUGGACGAGCUUGGCUGGAUUUUUCCAGGCCUGGGUGGAAUCAGUGGCUAACCCAAGCAACCCGAAUCCGAAUUGUAUUUAAUAUAUUAUAUAAAUUAUAUAAUAUAUGUAUAAAUUUAAUAGCUAGCCCUUAAUUUUUUGUUUUUUUUUUUUUGCUGGUCUUUGGCCCUUGGAUUAGCAUCUUUUAUUUGGACCAUUAUAUUAAAACUAAAAACAAAACCUUACCUUAUCUAUUCUUUCUUCCCUCUCUCUCAGACUCUCAUUUCAUUUCUUCAUGAGAGUUGAAGAACAGCGGAGAUACCAACAACGACGAAGUGCAGCCACCAACAACGACGCCACCCUUUCGAUAAGCUUCGACGCCACACAAAACUGGUAGAUCCCUCUCUGUGUUUGUAUUUGUGCCUCAAUUUGUCUAUUUUUGGUCACUCGUCGUUCGAUUACC